Molecule: ribosomal RNA, 756 nt
Filed under: uncultured Burkholderiaceae bacterium
Lineage: Bacteria; Pseudomonadati; Pseudomonadota; Betaproteobacteria; Burkholderiales; Burkholderiaceae
Description: bacterial SSU rRNA
Rfam family: Bacterial small subunit ribosomal RNA
Source: RNAcentral
ACUUGUACUGUUCGAUUGAGCUUGCGGCAUGCCUACACAUCCACUCGACGCACCCGGGGCAACCUGGUGGCGAGUGGCGGACCGGGUGAGGUAAUACAUCCGAACUUUCCUGUAGUGGGGGAUAGCCGCGAAAGCCGGAUUAAUACGCAUACCAUCUGUGGAUGAAAGCGGGGAUCUUCGAGACCUCGCGCUACAGGGCGCCGAUGGCAGAUUAGCUAGUUGUGGGGUAAAGGCCCUACCAAGGCGACGAUCUGUAGCUGGUCUGAGAGGACGGACCAGCCACACUGGGGACUGAGACACGGCCCAGACUCCUACGGGAGGCAGCAGUGGGGAAUUUUGGACAAUGGGCGAAAGCCUGAUCCAGCAAUGCCGCGUGUGUGAAGAAGGGCUUCGGGUUGUAAAGCACUUUUGUCCCGGAAAGAAAACCUCGUGGUUAAUACCGUGGGGGAUGACGGUACCGGAAGAAUAAGCACCCGGCUAACUACGUGCCAGCAGCCGCGGUAAUACGUAGGGUGCAAGCGUUAAUCGGAAUUACUGGGCGUAAAGCGUGCGCAGGCGGUCCGCUAAGACAGAUGUGAAAUCCCCGGGCUUAACCUGGGAACUGCAUUUGUGACUGGCGGGCUAGAGUAUGGCAGAGGGGGGUAGAAUUCCACGUGUAGCAGUGAAAUGCGUAGAGAUGUGGAGGAAUACCAAUGGCGAAGGCAGCCCCUGGGAUAAUAUUGACGCUCAUGCACGAAAGCGUGGGGAGCAAACAGG